Molecule: long non-coding RNA, 176 nt
Organism: Fundulus heteroclitus (mummichog)
Lineage: Eukaryota; Metazoa; Chordata; Actinopteri; Cyprinodontiformes; Fundulidae
Exons: 2
Source: RefSeq, a predicted model, not a curated record
CUAUGUUGCACAUGUCUAUGUUAUAUAUAUCUAUGUUGCACAUGUAGCCGUUGCAUAUGUCUAUGUUGCACAUGUAGAUGUUGCAUAUGUCUAGGUUGCACAUGUCUAUCUGCUAUUGUGUUGUUAAGUCACUGUGAUCUUGCCAGUUCGUGUGCAGUAAACUAACCUACACCUUG